GGAAUUCAAGACGGAUCCCCAUAUAUAAGGAAAGCAUUCAGAUAUUUUUUCUCGCUCUUCUCUUCUUUCGCUUUCCAAACCCACAUAGGAUUCAUGUUGAGGAAUUCUAUCAUCUAAAUCUCUUUGCGAGCUCGGAAAACUUGGUCUGUUGUUGGUGAAUGAAAAGAGUUUUAAGGAAAUGCAACUUGAAUCAUAUAUGGCUUUCUAUAUCUAUUGAUGCUUAUAAGAUGGUUCAGCAAAGGUGUCAAGGUUGAUUGUUAGAAGAUGAGGGAGAAACUGACAGAUAGAGGAAAACAGGGUAUUGUGGUGAAUGAGGAGAAACUUAGGAUUCUCAGGUUUGCAUACGAUUGCAAGGAAGAAAUCCGAUGUGUGAAAACAAGUGGAGGGGCUAUCGUGCAAGACACUCUUACAACAACUUCGUAAAAUGAAGUCAUGGGCACACUAAAGGUGAUUGAAUUAGCUUAAAAAGUUGUGGGUAUAAUUGUUUUGAAAUGUUGAAGAAGAGAGAAACAUGGUGGGUAGAGGAAGCAUGAAGAAAGAGGGGUCAAUUACUAUCAACAACUUGAAUGUUUUCGCUGCACUCGAUAUGCUUAGGAAGAAGUUAAUUGUGUUUUUCUGUUUAUCAUGUUGCAUUCAAUUUUGACAUAGUUAGGGAAAAGUAGGUAUAAAAUUUGUAUUAUUUUGGAAUAAUCGAUCAAAGUUUGUAUUAUUCUAGCUACAUUUUCUUUCAAACUGAUUGCGAAGAAUUUUGAUUUGUUGUCUA
This is a long non-coding RNA of Beta vulgaris subsp. vulgaris (sugar beet), 763 nucleotides long. RefSeq lists it as uncharacterized. The transcript is spliced from 6 exons. The record is from RefSeq and is a predicted model, not a curated record. NCBI's taxonomy places the organism in Eukaryota, Viridiplantae, Streptophyta, Magnoliopsida, Caryophyllales, Amaranthaceae.